CCAGACUCCUACGGGAGGCAGCAGUGGGGAAUAUUGCACAAUGGGGGAAACCCUGAUGCAGCGACGCCGCGUGAGCGAUGAAGUAUUUCGGUAUGUAAAGCUCUAUCAGCAGGGAAGAAGAUGACGGUACCUGACUAAGAAGCCCCGGCUAACUACGUGCCAGCAGCCGCGGUAAUACGUAGGGAGCGAGCGUUAUCCGGAAUUAUUGGGUGUAAAGGGUGCGUAGGCGGUUUGAUAAGUCAGUGGUGAAAGCCUAGAGCUUAACUCUAGUAAGCCAUUGAAACUGUCGAACUUGAGUAUGGUAGAGGCAAGCGGAAUUUCUAGUGUAGCGGUAAAAUGCGUAGAUAUUAGAAGGAACACCAGUGGCGAAGGCGGCUUGCUGGGCCAAGACUGACGCUGAGGCACGAAAGCGUGGGGAGCAAAUAGGAUUAGAUACCCCUGUAAC
RNAcentral lists this ribosomal RNA (445 nucleotides) under uncultured bacterium. RNAcentral describes it as "partial 16S ribosomal RNA". It matches the Rfam family "Bacterial small subunit ribosomal RNA", at positions 331 to 794 of the family's 1533-position model. The record is from RNAcentral.